Molecule: ribosomal RNA, 407 nt
Filed under: Verrucomicrobiota bacterium
Lineage: Bacteria; Pseudomonadati; Verrucomicrobiota
Description: Verrucomicrobia bacterium partial 16S ribosomal RNA
Rfam family: Bacterial small subunit ribosomal RNA
Source: RNAcentral
UGGGGAAUAUUGGGCAAUGGGCGAAAGCCUGACCCAGCAACGCCGCGUGAAGUAUGAAGGCCUUCGGGUUGUAAACUUCUUUGAUCAGGGAAGAAACAAAUGACGGUACCUGAAAAACAAGCCACGGCUAACUACGUGCCAGCAGCCGCGGUAAUACGUAGGUGGCGAGCGUUAUCCGGAUUUACUGGGUGUAAAGGGCGUGCAGGCGGGCUGAUAAGUCAGAUGUGAAAUCCCCGAGCUUAACUCGGGAACUGCAUCUGAUACUGUUGGUCUUGAGUGCUGGAGAGGAUAGUGGAAUCCCUAGUGUAGCGGUAAAAUGCGCAGAUAUUAGGAGGAACACCAGUGGCGAAGGCGGCUAUCUGGACAGUAACUGACGCUGAGGCGCGAAAGCGUGGGUAGCAAACAGG